GCCCCGACUGUUCGGAGGAGUGCUAUAACAGGCAGACAGGAGACAGUCAUUGCUGGGGAAGUGCACCAGGAAUGUGUCAAAAACUGAACUUCAUAUCGGCGGUCUGUGACAGUUCAUGCGAUGGGAGAUGUUUUGGUAAAGAGCAGGAUGAAUGUUGUCAUCCUGAAUGCGCAGGAGGUUGUGUAGGACCCGGAAGGGAGCAAUGUCUAGCGUGUAAGAAUUUCUACUUCGAGGGUUCC
This is a long non-coding RNA of Mya arenaria, 239 nucleotides long. RefSeq lists it as uncharacterized. The record is from RefSeq and is a predicted model, not a curated record. The transcript has 3 exons. NCBI's taxonomy places the organism in Eukaryota, Metazoa, Mollusca, Bivalvia, Myida, Myidae.